This 301-nucleotide ribosomal RNA is filed under the name uncultured bacterium. RNAcentral's name for it is "partial 16S ribosomal RNA". It matches the Rfam family "Bacterial small subunit ribosomal RNA", at positions 511 to 809 of the family's 1533-position model. The record is from RNAcentral.
CUAGCCGCGGGAAUACAGAGGGUGCGAGCGUUAAUCGGAUUUACUGGGCGUAAAGCGUGCGUAGGCGGCUUCUUAAGUCGGAUGUGAAAUCCCUGAGCUUAACUUAGGAAUUGCAUUCGAUACUGGGAAGCUAGAGUAUGGGAGAGGAUGGUAGAAUUCCAGGUGUAGCGGUGAAAUGCGUAGAGAUCUGGAGGAAUACCGAUGGCGAAGGCAGCCAUCUGGCCUAAUACUGACGCUGAGGUACGAAAGCAUGGGGAGCAAACAGGAUUAGAUACCCCGGUAGUCCCUGUCUCUUAUACAC